RNAcentral lists this ribosomal RNA (1540 nucleotides) under Staphylococcus aureus subsp. aureus ECT-R 2. Its description in RNAcentral is "16s_rRNA". Lineage: Bacteria; Bacillati; Bacillota; Bacilli; Caryophanales; Staphylococcaceae. The record is from RNAcentral.
AGGUGAUCCAGCCGCACCUUCCGAUACGGCUACCUUGUUACGACUUCACCCCAAUCAUUUGUCCCACCUUCGACGGCUAGCUCCUAAAAGGUUACUCCACCGGCUUCGGGUGUUACAAACUCUCGUGGUGUGACGGGCGGUGUGUACAAGACCCGGGAACGUAUUCACCGUAGCAUGCUGAUCUACGAUUACUAGCGAUUCCAGCUUCAUGUAGUCGAGUUGCAGACUACAAUCCGAACUGAGAACAACUUUAUGGGAUUUGCUUGACCUCGCGGUUUCGCUGCCCUUUGUAUUGUCCAUUGUAGCACGUGUGUAGCCCAAAUCAUAAGGGGCAUGAUGAUUUGACGUCAUCCCCACCUUCCUCCGGUUUGUCACCGGCAGUCAACUUAGAGUGCCCAACUUAAUGAUGGCAACUAAGCUUAAGGGUUGCGCUCGUUGCGGGACUUAACCCAACAUCUCACGACACGAGCUGACGACAACCAUGCACCACCUGUCACUUUGUCCCCCGAAGGGGAAGGCUCUAUCUCUAGAGUUGUCAAAGGAUGUCAAGAUUUGGUAAGGUUCUUCGCGUUGCUUCGAAUUAAACCACAUGCUCCACCGCUUGUGCGGGUCCCCGUCAAUUCCUUUGAGUUUCAACCUUGCGGUCGUACUCCCCAGGCGGAGUGCUUAAUGCGUUAGCUGCAGCACUAAGGGGCGGAAACCCCCUAACACUUAGCACUCAUCGUUUACGGCGUGGACUACCAGGGUAUCUAAUCCUGUUUGAUCCCCACGCUUUCGCACAUCAGCGUCAGUUACAGACCAGAAAGUCGCCUUCGCCACUGGUGUUCCUCCAUAUCUCUGCGCAUUUCACCGCUACACAUGGAAUUCCACUUUCCUCUUCUGCACUCAAGUUUUCCAGUUUCCAAUGACCCUCCACGGUUGAGCCGUGGGCUUUCACAUCAGACUUAAAAAACCGCCUACGCGCGCUUUACGCCCAAUAAUUCCGGAUAACGCUUGCCACCUACGUAUUACCGCGGCUGCUGGCACGUAGUUAGCCGUGGCUUUCUGAUUAGGUACCGUCAAGAUGUGCACAGUUACUUACACAUAUGUUCUUCCCUAAUAACAGAGUUUUACGAUCCGAAGACCUUCAUCACUCACGCGGCGUUGCUCCGUCAGGCUUUCGCCCAUUGCGGAAGAUUCCCUACUGCUGCCUCCCGUAGGAGUCUGGACCGUGUCUCAGUUCCAGUGUGGCCGAUCACCCUCUCAGGUCGGCUAUGCAUCGUUGCCUUGGUAAGCCGUUACCUUACCAACUAGCUAAUGCAGCGCGGAUCCAUCUAUAAGUGACAGCAAGACCGUCUUUUACUUUUGAACCAUGCGGUUCAAAAUAUUAUCCGGUAUUAGCUCCGGUUUCCCGAAGUUAUCCCAGUCUUAUAGGUAGGUUAUCCACGUGUUACUCACCCGUCCGCCGCUAACAUCAGAGAAGCAAGCUUCUCGUCCGUUCGCUCGACUUGCAUGUAUUAGGCACGCCGCCAGCGUUCAUCCUGAGCCAGGAUCAAACUCU